RNAcentral lists this non-coding RNA (844 nucleotides) under Stegodyphus mimosarum. Its description in RNAcentral is "Eukaryotic small subunit ribosomal RNA". It matches the Rfam family "Eukaryotic small subunit ribosomal RNA", at positions 778 to 1831 of the family's 1831-position model. Lineage: Eukaryota; Metazoa; Arthropoda; Arachnida; Araneae; Eresidae. The record is from Rfam by way of RNAcentral.
AAUAAAGUUCCUGAUUCUGAAGUGCCUGAAGUAGAGAUGGAAGAAAGUGAAAACGCGACUGUUAAGUUGGUAGAAAGUGAUAGUGAAAUUACUAAGUCUCAAUUAGCAAGCAUUGAACCAUCUGAAAAGUCAUGUGAUGCAGAGACGACAGAAGCUGACAUACAGCUUAACCCAGAGUUCCAGUAUGACAAGAAAAUACACCGACUUCACAAACUAAAUAUGUGUCUGGUCCGGAAAACCAAAGCUUUUGGGUUCUGGGGGAAGUAUGGUUGCAAAGCUGAAAUUUAAAGGAACUGACCAAAGGGCACCACCAGGAAUGGAGCCUGCGGCUUAAUUUGAUUCAAGACGCGAACACUUACCCGGACCGGACAUAGGAAGGAUUGACAGAUUAAGAGCUCUUUGUUGAUUCUGUGGGUGGUGGUGCAUGGCCGUUCAUAUUUGGUGGAGUGAUUUGUCUGUUAAUUCCGAUAACGAAUGAGACUCUAGCCUACUAAAUAGACGCUCCGAUUCUUCGAGUCGGACGUUCUUCUUAGAAGGACAAGUGGCGUUUAGCCGCACGAGGCAGAGCAAUUACUGGUAUGUGAUGCCCUUAAGGACCAUUCCCAGUGGGGUUUAUCUGAGCUAACGGAGUCAAUUCUAUGUGUCGACUAGCUACGCUAUGGCUGCAGUUCAGAUUGUUCAGAUCGCUACUACCGAUUGAACAGUUUAGUGAGGUCUUCGAACUGGCUCUUGAAGCGACUUUCUGAUCGCGUCGGCGUACCGGAAAGAUGACCAUACUUGAUCAUUUAGAGGAAUUAAAAGUCGUAACAAGGUUUCCGUAAGUGAGUCUGCGGAAAGAUCAUUA